RNAcentral lists this ribosomal RNA (497 nucleotides) under uncultured bacterium. RNAcentral's name for it is "partial 16S ribosomal RNA". It matches the Rfam family "Bacterial small subunit ribosomal RNA", at positions 28 to 507 of the family's 1533-position model. The record is from RNAcentral.
GAUGAACGCUGGCGGCGUGCCUAAUACAUGCAAGUCGAGCGAACAGACGAGGAGCUUGCUCCUCUGACGUUAGCGGCGGACGGGUGAGUAACACGUGGAUAACCUACCUAUAAGACUGGGAUAACUUCGGGAAACCGGAGCUAAUACCGGAUAAUAUAUUGAACCGCAUGGUUCAAUAGUGAAAGACGGUUUUGCUGUCACUUAUAGAUGGAUCCGCGCCGCAUUAGCUAGUUGGUAAGGUAACGGCUUACCAAGGCAACGAUGCGUAGCCGACCUGAGAGAGUGGUCGGCCACACUGGAACUGAGACACGGUCCAGCCUCCUACGGGAGGCAGCAGUAGGGAAUCUUCCGCAAUGGGCGAAAGCCUGACGGAGCAACGCCGCGUGAGUGAUGAAGGUCUUCGGAUCGUAAAACUCUGUUAUUAGGGAAGAACAAAUGUGUAAGUAACUAUGCACGUCUUGACGGUACCUAAUCAGAAAGCCACGGCUAACUACGUG